Molecule: non-coding RNA, 127 nt
Filed under: Palpitomonas bilix
Lineage: Eukaryota
Source: RNAcentral
CUAUUCUCACCCAUGCCGAUGCUUCACUUUGUGCCGGCACAAAACCGUGAGCCUCCCACGGAGGACAGCUACAAGUGCCCCACCUACAAGAUCUUGACUAGGCAGGGCACCCUUUCCACAACUGGCC